CUACCACUGCCCAGUUCCUUCUGUGCUUUUUCUUUUCUUUUGCUUUUCGAGACAGGAUUUCUUUUGUAACCGUCCUGGCUGUCACAAAACUCCCCCUGCAUCUGACUCCAGAGUGCCACGAUUAAAGGCUUGCGCCACCACUGCCGGGUUCUGUGUUUUCUUUCUUACAGGUGGCAUUCAGUUGUGACUGGCCCUCGUCUUCCUGUCACAGUUGUCUGGAGGUCUGAAGGGGAAGACGGAGACUUACGAGGAUUGAUGGAGAAAUGCCUAUCAGAAUGGGAAUAUUUCUGGCAUGGAAAUGGCAGUGAUGGCGAAAUAGCAAUUUCUCCAGCUAUCACUCAAGCAAAUAGCAUACAAGUGUGUAUGUGUGUGUGUGUGUUGUAUGUGUGUGAUAUAUUGCCAUCCAGACAAUAAUUUCUGAGAGGAUGGAAACCCAGUCUACUAUGCACUUGGGGACCUGACCAGAAGGGCACAGUGCUUGUGGAGUGCAUACAUGAUUGGUCCAUGGCCAUUGAGAGGAAGGAGCACGGGAGGAGGGCAGGGAGGAUGGAGAAGACUGAAUUGGCAGGACUGAGUGUCACUUCUGUUCUUUCCUUACCACAGAGGCCAAGAGAUGUGACGAACAGUUUCCUGCUCCAUUCUUUCCGAGUACAGUAGGUCCUGUGCACCCAUGGGUUCUGCAUCCUUGACCUCAACUAAGUACAGAUCAGAAGCAUUGAAAAAGAGAAUUGCAUUGGUAUUGAACAGGAUUAGGCUUGUUCUCAUAGUUCCCUAGACAGUGUAGUGUCAAAUAAUUUGAAUGCCAUUUCCAGUAGGUAUUUUGAGAAAUCUAGAGCUGAUCUGAAGUAGGUAAAAUGCUGUGAGCAAGUUCUGUGGAAAUACUCUGUCACUGUAUAUAAGCUCUUGAGCAUCUGUAGAUUUGGGUAUCUGUGGGAUCCUGGAAGCAAAUGUUCACAGAUAUCUGGGGACAGCUCUCCAGGAUCUGCAACUCCCUCCGAUUCCCUUAGGUGAUUUCUUUACCUGUGUGUCUGUCUUUCUGUCUGUCUUUCUGUCUGUCUCUCUCUCAUCUGUGUGAAUGAAGCAAAAGACUGUUCAGGAUUUUGGGGGUGUAUCUGGUGAUGUAGUUUGGAUGUGGACUAGUCCCCCAAAGGCCCAGUCACCAGUCAAUGGUGCUAUUGGGAGGGGGUGGGAACUUCAGGAGGAAGGACUGAGUGUGGUGGCUUGGGUCCUCGGAGCUAUGCCCUUGAGGAGGGCUGCGUGCUGUGGGUCUUUUUCUCCUUUCUCUGCUUCCCUGAGGAUGUAGCUUCACCAAAUUCUCUCUUGAUACCAUGAGUGACUUCAAGAGAGGUCCCAAAGCCAAGAGGUCAGCUGUCCCGAGACUGAACCUCCCAAAACGGUGAGGCAAACCAACCUUUCAACCCUUCAUUCUGAUUAUCCUCGGUGUUUGUUGCAGGAAUAGAAAGGUACCGAUAGAAUGUGACAAAUAUGGUCACUGGUCUCUAUCUCUCUCUCUCUCUCUCUUUUUUUUUUUUUAACAAGAAUGACUAUUCCCUUUUGGAUUUUUAAGGUAUAUUCUAUUUUUAUAUGUCAAUGCUUAUAUGUGCACAUGUACAUGUGUGUGGGUGCCUGUGGAGGUCAGAAGAGCGUGUCGGAUCUUCUGGAGCUAUGGUUAUGGGCCAUCAUGAGACAUCUGAUGUCGGUGCUGGGAACUGAAGUCUGUUCAUCUGCACGGGUAGCAAAUGCUCUUUACUGAGCCAUUUUCCCCCCUUUUUAGUUUUUAGUUCUUUAUAGCCCAUAAGCUUAUAUCCUUUAGGAGUGAGAUAAUCCCAUAAUUGGGCGUGGGUGUCCCUGGCUGGAUCUGCAGGCUACUGAUACCGAAAGCUCCUGAUGUUUCAAGGCAAUCCACAGAAGCUCAAGUCCUUCUCACUGUGAGGAAUUCCCUUUGUUCCUGGACCACAUCCUCCUACUUUCCACUUUCCCUUCCCCCAGGGGCCAUGGUGUACGGGGUGUGGGGGGGGGAACCACAGCCCAGAGUAAAGAGCACUGGGCUUGGAACCAGGAGAUAAGGUUUAAGUCCCAGCAUAGGGUACUCAUUCAUCAUGUGGUCUUGGGCAAAUUUCCUGACUUUGCAGUCUUAAUGGGCCCCAGGGCCACUAAUGCUUCCUUCCUGGUAGAACACCACAUGACUCUCAGGGUGGGGAGCUCAGCACUACAUCUAAACUGUGACCACACAGCCCCUCCUCUAGAGGGUCCCAAUCUGUUAAGGCCAGGGAUGCUCUGGCAGGUGGCCAGAGUCAGUCAAUUCUCAUACCAUGUUUCUCCUGCUCCACAAUGACAGUAACAAUCACCACUAUCAUACCCUUCAGUAGCUUUUCAUCAAUGCAUUAAUUAAAAAAAAAAUCCCAGACUCAUUGUACCAUUAACCAAGAGCCUCGGUUUGCUAUUUGACACCAAGUGGAGGUUUGUGCCUCAGUUUACCCUUCCAUAGCAUCAAGGAAGCGGGCGAUACAUGCCUCUACAACUGCAACUCAUUUCGGGUUCUCUGUUCCCACUUCUAAUUUCGUAGCAAAAGAAGCGGAAGCUCAGAAUCAACCUCUGGAUCAGACCCAACUCAAACUCGACAUCAAAGCCCAAGUGGAUGAGUGGCCUAGGAAGUCUCUCUUGACUUUAUGACCCGCAGAUCAGAGGAGCAGGACAGGAGGUGGCUACUCUGUUGGCACUCAGUCUGUGGGGUGCAGGAGCAACACCAAACCUGCUCAAGUGACUUCCGGCCUUGUUCUCUGGGCUGGCUUGACCAAUCAGCCAUGACGUGUGGCUUUGCUCGGCUUGUGCUCCUUCCGUGACGAACUACUUCUCCAGGACAAUGAGGCUGAUUGAGUCUAGGCAGAGACCUUAAGAACCACGAACCGGAAACCACUGUCUCUUUAUAAAUUGGUAUUUGUUCUAGUGACCAACUGCCGACUAAUAGGUCCCCUAAGAUAAAUCCUGUGCUGGUUACUUUUUUGUCACCUUGGCACAAACUAGAGUCACUUUGGAAGAGUGACCCUCAUUGAGGAAUUGCCUCCAUCAGAUUGGCCUGUAGGCAAGCCUGUAGAAUAUUUUCUUGAUUGAUGAUUGAUGUGGGAGGGCACAGCCCACUGUGGGCGGUGCCAUUUCUGGGCAGGUGUUCUGGGUUGUAUAGGAAAGCAGGCUGAGUAAACCAUAGAAUGUAAUCCAGUAAGCAGUGUUCUGCUAUGAUCUCUGCUUCAGUUCCUGCCUCCAGGUUCCUGCCUUCCAUUCCUGCUUUGGUUUCCCUUGAUGAUGGCCUGUAAGGUGAAAUCAGCCCUUUCCUUCUUCCCAAGUUAAUCACUGUUAGGAGCACAACUUAUGAAACCAUUUCGUGUAACUGGAAAACCAUCAUGUAACUUAAACGCCGUUUUAUGUAACUUGAAAUAAUACAAUGCCUGAGCUUACCACUGGGCAAGCUGAUAAGAGCAGGUCCUCGAGCAAGAUCACUGAACAGUACCAUUUUACCUAGCCCAGGACAAACCCUGAUAGGCUAGGGAACCAGCUCCAAGCUGUGAACCCUGAUAACUCAAAGCUACCACCCAAUGAAAUGAUCCACAAAUUGGAACUUUGGAAAUGAUCAGCUAACCCCUGUGUUGAUACUCAUCCUCCGCAAGAGAACUUGAGACUCUGUGCCUGGCCCCGGCCUCAGUGACUGCUGAACUUCCGGCACUGUGACUAGACUCAUACAGGUUAGCCUGUCAGCACUAGCUGCUGACCGGCUCUCUCAAGGCCUUCUCGAAUAUCCAUUGGAGCCAUCAUCCCUGACUGUCCUAGCUGAAGGACUUCACAGUGAAUGUGGACUGAGCCUGCAAGCUUCUGAAGGUCCCCACUGGAGAAGAUUUCAUAGUAACAGAUUUCCCUCUAGCAGCAUUUCUGCCCAGAUGACUGUUUCCUGCUUGGUGAGAUGUCUGUUUAAUUUUUAUAUUAGCAUGACAUGAUGAAGAAGGGUUUUGUGAGCAAAUCGAGCAUAUUCGAAAGACAAAUUUUAUGUGGACGUCCUAAUUGCCGAGCGCCUUAUAGCCCACAGACCGUGCUCUCUGCAUUUGUGGUGUUCAUUACUGCAGUGGAAACCAAACCAGGACAUAUCCAGUUCCCUUCCCCAGGAAGUCAGCUGCAUCUAGAUAGGUAGAGGGAUGGCUUUAUAUAAGUCCUAUUUUGCUCAACAUAAUGCUUACUGGUAGUCAGUACCCAAGGGACAGACUAGCCCAGGGGCUGAUGGGAUUCCAAGCAGAUAGACUAGCCCAGGGGUUGAUGGGAUUUCAAGGAGACAGACUAGCCCAGGGGCUGAUGGGAUUCCAAGCAGACAGACUAGCCCAGGGGCUGAUGGAAUUCUGUGUAGUGGUGUCCCGUAACUGUUAGGAAACAGGUAGGUAAGUACCCGUGGGUCACUCUGUCUCUAGUAUAAAACUAUAUAUUGCUUCCAUGUUGAGAAAGUGCUUUUUAAGAAAACAUAGCAAAAGCAUUUUUUGUAGCUUAACUCUUAGGGGUGUGGAAAAGUUUGGUAGCAGAGUCCUGGAAAAACUCUGAAGUGGCCCAGAUCUGUGAACCCAGAAACCACACCCCUUGGCUUUCAUCUCUGAGGAUUUCAGAACCGUUGAUGCUUCAGCUAACACAGACAUGCCCUCCCAAAGCUCUCAAGACUGUUGGAAUUUGUGAAUAUUUUUUAUAUUUUAAAUAAAACUAGUUUUGAU
Myodes glareolus (Bank vole) is the source of this 4739-nucleotide non-coding RNA. Lineage: Eukaryota; Metazoa; Chordata; Mammalia; Rodentia; Cricetidae. The record is from RefSeq and is a predicted model, not a curated record.